This 222-nucleotide ribosomal RNA is filed under the name uncultured bacterium. RNAcentral's name for it is "partial 16S ribosomal RNA". It matches the Rfam family "Bacterial small subunit ribosomal RNA", at positions 57 to 305 of the family's 1533-position model. The record is from RNAcentral.
GCAAGUCGAGCGCUCACCUUCGGGUGGGAGCGGCGGACGGGUUAGUAACGCGUGGGAACAUACCCUUUUCUACGGAAUAGCCAUUGGAAACGAUGAGUAAUACCGUAUACGCCCUUCGGGGGAAAGAUUUAUCGGAUUUGGAUCGGCCCGCGUUAGAUUAGAUAGUUGGUGGGGUAAUGGCCUACCAAGUCUACGAUCUAUAGCUGGUUUUAGAGGAUGAUC